GCAGUGGGGAAUAUUGCACAAUGGGCGCAAGCCUGAUGCAGCCAUGCCGCGUGUGUGAAGAAGGCCUUCGGGUUGUAAAGCACUUUCAGUCAGGAGGAAAGGUUAGUAGUUAAUACCUGCUAGCUGUGACGUUACUGACAGAAGAAGCACCGGCUAACUCCGUGCCAGCAGCCGCGGUAAUACGGAGGGUGCGAGCGUUAAUCGGAAUUACUGGGCGUAAAGCGUACGCAGGCGGUUUGUUAAGCGAGAUGUGAAAGCCCCGGGCUCAACCUGGGAACUGCAUUUCGAACUGGCAAACUAGAGUGUGAUAGAGGGUGGUAGAAUUUCAGGUGUAGCGGUGAAAUGCGUAGAGAUCUGAAGGAAUACCGAUGGCGAAGGCAGCCACCUGGGUCAACACUGACGCUCAUGUACGAAAGCGUGGGGAGCAAACAGGAUUAGAUACCCUGGUAGUCCACGCCGUAAACGAUGUCUACUAGAAGCUCGGAACCUCGGUUCUGUUUUUCAAAGCUAACGCAUUAAGUAGACCGCCUGGGGAGUACGGCCG
RNAcentral lists this ribosomal RNA (544 nucleotides) under uncultured Pseudoalteromonas sp. Its description in RNAcentral is "bacterial SSU rRNA". It matches the Rfam family "Bacterial small subunit ribosomal RNA", at positions 351 to 888 of the family's 1533-position model. The record is from RNAcentral. Lineage: Bacteria; Pseudomonadati; Pseudomonadota; Gammaproteobacteria; Alteromonadales; Pseudoalteromonadaceae.